CCUACGGGUGGCUGCAGUGGGGAAUAUUGGACAAUGGGCGAAAGCCUGAUCCAGCCAUGCCGCGUGUGUGAAGAAGGCCUUCGGGUUGUAAAGCACUUUCAGUGGGGAAGAAAGCCUUGGGGCUAAUACCCUCGAGGAAGGACAUCACCCACAGAAGAAGCACCGGCUAACUCCGUGCCAGCAGCCGCGGUAAUACGGAGGGUGCGAGCGUUAAUCGGAAUUACUGGGCGUAAAGCGCGCGUAGGCGGUCUGAUAAGCCGGUUGUGAAAGCCCCGGGCUCAACCUGGGAACGGCAUCCGGAACUGUCAGGCUAGAGUGCAGGAGAGGAAGGUAGAAUUCCCGGUGUAGCGGUGAAAUGCGUAGAGAUCGGGAGGAAUACCAGUGGCGAAGGCGGCCUUCUGGACUGACACUGACGCUGAGGUGCGAAAGCGUGGGUAGCAAACAGGAUUAGAUACCCGAGUCGU
RNAcentral lists this ribosomal RNA (464 nucleotides) under Vreelandella stevensii. RNAcentral describes it as "partial 16S ribosomal RNA". It matches the Rfam family "Bacterial small subunit ribosomal RNA", at positions 338 to 794 of the family's 1533-position model. The record is from RNAcentral. Lineage: Bacteria; Pseudomonadati; Pseudomonadota; Gammaproteobacteria; Oceanospirillales; Halomonadaceae.